Long non-coding RNA from Bos indicus x Bos taurus (hybrid cattle), 887 nucleotides. The record is from Ensembl. NCBI's taxonomy places the organism in Eukaryota, Metazoa, Chordata, Mammalia, Artiodactyla, Bovidae.
AAAAGGUGUUUUUGCAGAUGCGAUUGGGGUUAAGCACCUCCAGCUAGCGAGAUGAUGCUGGCUUAUCUGGGUGGGCCUGGCCCCCUGGCAACUGCUGAUCUUUUUACAGGCUUCUCAGUUUGCCAGAAUGUCACAGUCAGAGUCGCACAGUAGGCAGCCUUAAGAAUCAGCGUGUUGAAACACACAAGAGCGUUGAGCUCAGACGUAAGGGCCGUGCUGAGCACAGCGAACGGCAGAGAGAAUCAGAACAGUGCAAGGAGGGCCUUCUGGCUUCCCCAAACUCCACGGAAGUCUCGAUUCGCAUCCUGGGGCUGCUCCUACUUCCCUUUUCUCAGGGUCUGCGCUCCCUCCCUGGAACAGCUGGGCCCAGGUCUCCCUCCAGGGAGCGUUCGGACGGAGCACGGCCACCCACCAUCAUGACUAAAGAUCAAAAAGAGCAAAACAGAACAAGACCUCAGGUCUCCGGACCAUUUCCCCCUUCAGAGGCGGAGAGCAGCACAUCAAAACCAGAAGAUGAGCCAGAAGGGAUCGGCUACCCUCAGGGGUUCCUGAUGACAAACUCUGGUUUCUGGGGAUCUCACCUGUGCCUGGGGGGCCCCGGGCACUGUGCUGAGCAAGAUGCAAAGAGCCCCAAGUCCCACCCACCCAGAGAGUGCAGCUGGGAGGUGGGUGUGCAGAGUGGAAGCCGCGAGCCACCGGAGACAGAAGAGUGCGAAUCGAGAUGGGCUUGCAUGUGAAACACUCAGCAGAGGUCACAGAUUUGGGACCGGAAACAAGCGGAAUGUCUCUCACCGGCGACUCUUCAAUUCUGGAUUUUCAUGCGAAAGUGAUAGCAUCUGGCUUUUAUUUGGGUUAAAUAAAAUAUUUGAUUACAUUAAUUUCUCUCA